GCCAAUCAGCGACUAGCUUUUCAAAACGCUUAGCUUAAAAUGUGAAGAAAACUCGUGAGCUAGCUGGACGAUUAGCUUGACGAGCUAACAACCCACACUGUUUUAUCAAGGAAUACCUUGGAUACAUCGUUUUGUGCAAGUUGGUAAUAGGUGCUUUUGAUUUAUCGGUUCUUUUUCGAAAGAACAGUGGUACUUUGGAGAAACUGAAGCGAUUGUUUAAUGCUACUUUAGCUAACCAGCUAGCAAAUGGCUUUGUUGCUGUCCUUAACUGAAAAGAUCAAACAUUACAGCGAGAUGAGACCACAUGGAUCAGAAAAGGGAACACAAGUCAACCAUCUGGAAGUGGAAGGAUGCUGUGCUGUGGGAUUUCGUAGGCCUCCUUAAGAAAGAUUGUCAACUCACUGAACCGGAGACCAGCUCCUUCAUUGCUCAAGAUGGGCGAGUUCAAGGACAUGGUUAGGCAGAAUGUUCGAGCCAUUGUGGACAUGAUGAACAAAUGUAUCCUGCCAGCAAAAGUUUUCCCUUCAUAAUGCUUGGAAGAACUCAGACCGGAGAGCAGGCAGACUCAUGGCCAGAAAACCCUGCCAGCCCUGCAGCAGCACCCACCGGUACAGUCACAGGACCAAAGUUCAGCCUCCACCUGCUGCACACGGCGCCUGUCCCUGAUCCCUGAGCUGCAGCAAUGCUACCCGUAGUAACCCAAUGCUGAGACACAUUUCCACCUAUAUCUGCCUCCUACUCUCUACCAUCAUGACCCAAAGAUCUAUCUGGGAAUUACCAGCCUGCAGGUUUUACACCACAGGUGGACAAGGUGUUGACCAGAAGUGAUUAUCACCAACAUCGACAGUGUUGCAGCUGCGUGUCAUUCACAGAUCAAACAUAGAUGACCACUGUGUACCUUUGCAAGACCUCAUGCUGCUCUACAGCUGUACUUUAAGCUAAUUGCUGGUGAGCAACACAGGAGGAGGUCCAGUUUUGCUAAAUUAAUCUUCAAAUAAAUGUUAGCUUUACUGUCAUCACCACAAAUGUUCCAGACAAACUGCAGUAAAUAUGCACAAACACGAGCAUAUAUAUUUCUAAUGGUCCUUGUCAUAAAAUCCAACUGUUCAGUAAUCCCUUUGAGUCGGAGCAGUCGCGUACAUCACAGUAAUGGCUUUACUGAGGCUGUUUUGUAGAGGUGACUGGAGGGGUUGACAGUGCCUGUGGAGUCCUCUGAAGGGAUUGCACUUUUUGUGAUUGCCUUGCAUCAUCAGAGGCCACAACUCAUCUUAAAUAUCUACAUGUUCUCUGUGGUUCUGUCAGCCAGCAGUGGGCCUUGGGCUCGGCAAUGUGUGCAUUUGCUUAAAGUUGCAGCUGGGCAGUAUGACAUGAAAUUCAUAUCAAAAUAGUCUUAUAGCCAAGUAAUAAUAAAAGCAAUUAUAUUGUAACACCCGAGAGAAAGAUGCUCAGCAACAUCGUCUGACAAUUUCUCAGGCACUUUUUGCACCGCAUGACCUUCAAGAUCCUGCUGGUCAACAACAUGAGAUAUGGGCAGCUGCAAGCUUAAUAACACUGGAAAUUCUCUAUUGGCCUCAGACCCUCAAAUAUCAGAUAAACAAGUAUUGUCAGGUGUGUUUAUAUAUGUAUAUGAAACAAUCUUAUUAAACAGAGUGGGCGUUGGCCAGACAA
This is a long non-coding RNA of Centropristis striata (black sea bass), 1668 nucleotides long. RefSeq lists it as uncharacterized. Lineage: Eukaryota; Metazoa; Chordata; Actinopteri; Perciformes; Serranidae. The record is from RefSeq and is a predicted model, not a curated record. The transcript has 7 exons.